CAAGUCGCACGAGAAAGCAGUAGCAAUACUGUGAGUAAAGUGGCGUACGGGUGAGUAACACGUGGAUCAUCUACCUUCUAGUGGGGAAUACCCCUGGGAAACUGGGGACAAUACCGCAUAAGCUCGAGAGAGGAAAGCAGCAAUGCGCUGGAAGAGGAGUCCGCGGCUGAUUAGCUAGUUGGCGGGGUAAUGGCCCACCAAGGCGAAGAUCGGUAGCCGGCCUGAGAGGGCACACGGCCACACUGGCACUGAAACACGGGCCAGACUCCUACGGGAGGCAGCAGUGGGGAAUCUUGCACAAUGGAGGAAACUCUGAUGCAGCGACGCCGCGUGAGCGAUGAAGCCCUUCGGGGUGUAAAGCUCUUUCGACGGGAACGAUAAUGACGGUACCCGAAGAAGAAGCUGCGGCUAACUACGUGCCAGCAGCCGCGGUAAUACGUAGGCAGCAAGCGUUGUUCGGAAUUACUGGGCGUAAAGAGUGUGUAGGCGGUGUUCUAAGUCUGGUGUGAAAUCUCCCGGCUCAACUGGGAGGGUGCGCUAGAAACUGGAAUGCUAGAGGAUGGGAGAGGUAAGCGGAAUUCCUGGUGUAGCGGUGAAAUGCGUAGAUAUCAGGAGGAACACCUGUGGUGUAGACAGCUUACUGGACCAUUUCUGACGCUGAGACACGAAAGCGUGGGUAGCAAACAGGAUUAGAUACCCUGGUAGUCCACGCCCUAAACGAUGCAUACUUGGUGUGAGCGAUUCAUUUCGUUCGUGCCGGAGCUAACGCGUUAAGUAUGCCGCCUGGGGAGUACGGUCGCAAGGCU
This 806-nucleotide ribosomal RNA is filed under the name uncultured Bacillota bacterium. RNAcentral's name for it is "bacterial SSU rRNA". It matches the Rfam family "Bacterial small subunit ribosomal RNA", at positions 58 to 895 of the family's 1533-position model. The record is from RNAcentral. Lineage: Bacteria; Bacillati; Bacillota.